This 203-nucleotide ribosomal RNA is filed under the name uncultured Bacteroidota bacterium. RNAcentral's name for it is "uncultured Bacteroidetes bacterium partial 16S ribosomal RNA". It matches the Rfam family "Bacterial small subunit ribosomal RNA", at positions 303 to 502 of the family's 1533-position model. Lineage: Bacteria; Pseudomonadati; Bacteroidota. The record is from RNAcentral.
GUCCCCCACAUUGGAACUGAGACACGGUCCAAACUCCUACGGGAGGCAGCUAGUGAGGAAUAUUGGUCAAUGGGCGAGAGCCUGAACCAGCCAAGUAGCGUGAAGGAUGACUGCCCUAUGGGUUGUAAACUUCUUUUAUAAAGGAAUAAAGUCGGGUAUGGAUACCCGUUUGCAUGUACUUUAUGAAUAAGGAUCGGCUAACU